This 407-nucleotide ribosomal RNA is filed under the name uncultured prokaryote. RNAcentral's name for it is "bacterial SSU rRNA". It matches the Rfam family "Bacterial small subunit ribosomal RNA", at positions 355 to 774 of the family's 1533-position model. The record is from RNAcentral.
UGGGGAAUAUUGCACAAUGGGCGCAAGCCUGAUGCAGCAACGCCGCGUGCGGGAUGACGGCCUUCGGGUUGUAAACCGCUUUCACCCAUGACGAAGCGAAAGUGACGGUAGUGGGAGAAGAAGCACCGGCCAACUACGUGCCAGCAGCCGCGGUGAUACGUAGGGUGCGAGCGUUGUCCGGAAUUAUUGGGCGUAAAGAGCUUGUAGGCGGUUGAUUGCGUCGAAAGUGAAAUUCCAGGGCUUAACGCUGGGCUUGCUUUCGAUACGGGUCGACUUGAGGAAGGUAGGGGAGAAUGGAAUUCCCGGUGGAGCGGUGGAAUGCGCAGAUAUCGGGAGGAACACCAGUGGCGAAGGCGGUUCUCUGGACCUUUCCUGACGCUGAGAAGCGAAAGCGUGGGGAGCAAACA